This 22-nucleotide non-coding RNA is filed under the name Arabidopsis thaliana (thale cress). Lineage: Eukaryota; Viridiplantae; Streptophyta; Magnoliopsida; Brassicales; Brassicaceae. The record is from RNAcentral.
UGAUGCAUAGUGCAUCAGGUGG